RNAcentral lists this ribosomal RNA (253 nucleotides) under uncultured bacterium. Its description in RNAcentral is "partial 16S ribosomal RNA". It matches the Rfam family "Bacterial small subunit ribosomal RNA", at positions 524 to 776 of the family's 1533-position model. The record is from RNAcentral.
UACAGAGGGUGCAAGCGUUAAUCGGAAUGACUGGGCGUAAAGGGUGCGUAGGUGGCAUAUUAAGUUAGUUGUGAAAGCCCCGGGCUUAACCUGGGAACUGCAAUUAAUACUGGUAAGCUAGAGUUUAGGAGAGGAUAGUGGAAUUUCCGGUGUAGCGGUGAAAUGCGUAGAUAUCGGAAGGAACACCAGUGGCGAAGGCGACUAUCUGGCCUAGAACUGACACUGAGGCACGAAAGCGUGGGUAGCGAACAGG